Molecule: long non-coding RNA, 2856 nt
Organism: Pezoporus occidentalis (night parrot)
Lineage: Eukaryota; Metazoa; Chordata; Aves; Psittaciformes; Psittacidae
Exons: 3
Source: RefSeq, a predicted model, not a curated record
AGAGGUUAACAGGUUCGGGAGAGUGUUGGCUAGCAGAGAGUGGGUAAAUGGUUUUUCUAUGCUUAAUCUACUCUUAAGGAGUCUCAAAUGCAACAGAGCUGCUUUCCAUGCCUGCAAGGGGGGAAAAUUAUUAGCCAUGCUCUCCUGCAUUAUUAUAGAGUUAAUGUGGGCAUGAAACAAGCAUCUAUGAAGUAGGACUAGAGCAAAUAAGCAACGUUUUGUCAGUACUUCACUUUGGCCAGGCAAAUGGAUUCACGUUGCUGAGACCGAGAAGCACCACUCUUGGUGUGGAGCACUGUGAAUAAGCCCUCCUGGAGGAAGAAUUUGAGAGAGACCUGCAGCAUCAACAUGGGGACCCCAUGUCUCCCAUGAAGGAUGAGGGGAGCAGCCCCAUGCCAUGGGAUGAGGGAGGGAAAGGAUAUUGUCCAAGGUCUUGGAGGAGGAAGGUUUUCUGUUUUCUCCUUGGGGAGGAUUCUCACUCUGCCUGUCUUCUGCUUCCCUUGACUUUGCCCUUUGAAUCUACUAUUUCCUCCUUCAGCAUCAGUCAUUGAAAACCAGCAUUUCCUGCAUGGCUGCUAGUAUCCCUCUGCUGCUGCUGCCUCACAUUAGCAUCUCCCUAUCUGGGGCUGAGCAAAUCCACACAAAGGGGGUUUAAAGAGCUGGUUGUCAGUUGAGAGUCAAACACGGGCAUGCUCAGUCCCGUGGAUAAUUACAGGGUAUUUUAUAGAGGAUUGACCCAUAAGGCGCAGCUCUAGGACCUAUAGAAACCAACAGCAAAGGGGGCAAGUGCUGAAUUAGCAUCAGUGGUAUUUGAGAGGUGGGCUCAGAUCGGAGUGUGGAGGUUGCCUUGCUCCAGGAGAGGAUACUCCUAUAUUGGGAAGGCUGUUUGUUCACACCCGUGGGUGGUGGGGCUCUUUUGCUGUUUGGGGUGAAAGGCAGUGAGGAUGGGGCCAGGCAGCACUAUUAGCUCCCUGAUCUCCUUACCAGUUUGUCAGUGUAGGGAGAGGGCUCGGUGGCUGCCAUGUCGUAGUAUGGAGCCUGCAGAGGGAGUUUCUGGAUUUCCUCCUCGUGUUUCAUGUUGUCUAAGUGAACAACCUAUAACAGACGAGAGAGAAGAGGGAUGAGAAGAGCAAGCACUGUUCUUCUGUCAUAGCUCAGGGCCACAUCUGCACCACCACCAGGUUUCACCAUGGAAGGCAGUGCAUCUUACCUUCUCCCUUCCUCCAACCAUAUGAUUUGCCUCCCAUUCUCUUUCUUUCAUUCCCAUACCCCUCACUGCCACCCAUGACAUUCAGAAUGGUGGACAUGCUCGGAAGUGCUCUCAUCUGAACACCACCGCAUUUAAAACUCAAUCCCCACUAAAGUAAGCAGGAUCCCAAUUAUAGCUUUCAAAUAGUGCCAAACAUUGGGAGUUCCGGGCAGACAAGUCCUCACUUUCUGACCCUCAAACUUAGGCCAUGGGCGAUUUUCCUCUUGCAAACCCAGUGUUCCCACUGCGGACACUGCUUGAAGUCGGUUUUCCUUGCCAGAGGAAGGAGCUUGCAGCUGGGUUAGGGAGCCAUACCUGGAUGUCUUCUGCAGUCAGGUGGCUUUUCAUCUCCUGUUUCCUCUUUGGUGGAGGGGCAGGUUUGUGGGAUGGAGGCAAGUCGAUUCUGCAGGUAAAGAAGUGGUUAGAGAGGAAAGGGGUCUGCUUGCUUUGGUGUACGUGACAAGCCGCAUCCUGCAUGCGCCAAAGAGUGGGUUGUGUUUGGCACCAAACUGCCAAUAUAACCAUAUACAUUAUUCUCUGUAACCCCUCUGUGCCCUCCUUCUCACCCCAAUUAGAAGUGUUAAUAGAAAUCAGCAUUCUGUUCCUAACUCCAAGCAAAUCCCCAUGUCGGAUUGCAGAUCCUGAGCUGCAGCUGGGCUACCUGUCUCCCAGCACUGCUUUGGGAUGGCUCCAAACCAUCCCAUGGGAGGAGGCUCAUUCAAUGUAUAGCUGUAGGGUACCAGGAAGUGUCUGGCAGUGUCUGCAAAUCAACAGGGUAAUGUCAUCCCCCAGUUCCGGAGCUUGCCUGCACUGGCAACCCCUGCCACAGGCUUCCCAGUAGGGCUUUGAGUCUUCCUUGUAGACGUGCUAUGCCACGCAGGCGUAUUCAUCCCUGACCCCAGCCAGGGGAUCAACUUUUGCCCCAGAGCAUAAGGAUUGGCAGCCUAUUAUAAUCCCAGCCUAGAGACUGCCUCUGCGCAUUCUGAUCACAUGCAUGGAUGUGCCUAAUCCCUUUACAAAACUUAUUAAACCUGAUCCACUAAUUGGCUGCCUCCCCCUCCCUUCUCUCUGUACAAUCUUCACCACAUCUUCUGACAGAGAUGGGUGACUUUCCUUGGCAACCCAAUGGAUUCUAGCUUGGGAUCGGAGCGUAGGGGUGAGUGGGAAGGUAAAAUGGGUCCCCAAGGCUCUGCAAAGCAUUGGCGUGAUGGCUUUAAAGGAAAGAAAUGCUGUUACCUUUUGGAGGCUUUGGAGCAGACGGCAAUAGGGGCAGCACCUCUGCAGACUAGGGCACCAUUGUGUUUCUAUUCUCAGCUAAAGUGGCUCUUCACUGUGCCUGUGUGGAGGGCCAUUGUGGGAAGUGGAUUGUCUGAAUGCAUCUCUAGCGUAGCACUGAUGCUGUUGAUGCAAUUUCACCUUGUGGUGCUGUAGUUUUGUUUGUGUGCCUUUCUGUUCCUCCUCCUGCUUUCCCUGUUCUCUCCCCCCCCCCCAUCUCCACUUAUCCUCCAAUGCCCUCUCUCAAACGGGACUAAAUGGAGCACAAAAUGUGGCCAAGAUGUAUCAACAAUGAGGACGGGUGUUGUGGAAGAUAAAAGCAACUUCUGGCC